This 253-nucleotide ribosomal RNA is filed under the name uncultured bacterium. RNAcentral's name for it is "partial 16S ribosomal RNA". It matches the Rfam family "Bacterial small subunit ribosomal RNA", at positions 524 to 776 of the family's 1533-position model. The record is from RNAcentral.
UAAGAAGGGGGCUAGCGUUGUUCGGAAUUACUGGGCGUAAAGCGCACGUAGGCGGACUGUCAAGUCAGGGGUGAAAUCCCGGGGCUCAACCUCGGAACUGCCUUUGAUACUGUCAGUCUAGAGUCCGGAAGAGGUGGGUGGAAUUCCUAGUGUAGAGGUGAAAUUCGCAGAUAUUAGGAAGAACACCGGUGGCGAAGGCGGCCCACUGGUCCGGUACUGACGCUGAGGUGCGAAAGCGUGGGGAGCAAACAGG